GAUGACUCCCCAGGUGAGACAGCAUUUGAUUGAGAGCUUAAAACAAGAGUUUCACAGAUGAGGAGAAGAAAGAAGCUUUCACUCCAGGCAGGAGGAACAGUGUGAGGUUUCAGAACUGCCAGGAAAGCUGCAGAACAAAGGUCUGAAAACAUAAGAGAAGCCAGGAAAAUGCAAGUCCUUCCUCCUGACCCUAGAAAAUCUCUGCUGCCAAGGCUGGGACUCUGCUGCCAACUUCAGGCCUGAGAAAACCAAGACUCCAGGAGCUCUACCUCUAGGAUUCUUCCAAACAUUUCACCAUGUCCUCUGAUACCUCUGCAGUCAUCUGCCACAACCUACUUCUGAAUGAAUCCUACAUUCCACCUUUCUGUGCCUGUAUCCAAGAAGCCAAAUGUUGAUGGAGAAAACCACAAAGGUAGUUAACUGGUCAGUACUGCCAAAAACAAACAAAAAACCAGGCAAACAAAAACCAACCACAUUUCUUUAGUAGACUCAUGUUGCCCUCCACUACGCAAACAUUUUAUGUCUCGCUCACUCUCUUCAAAUUUAUCAUAGCCCAACUUGACAGUCACUCACUGCUCAUGACCUUGCUUAUACUCUAAGGAAAAAGAAGACAUCACAUCUGAACACAUACAUCUGCCAACCCCGAAACUACCAACUUAAAAACACAUGUACUCAUCCUCUUUCUCCUAUUGCAAUGGGGGGAAUAUCCCCGCUUCCAUUAAAGGGCAGCUGCACACAUCCCUUUUUUUCUUCUCAGAAACUUGGCUUCUUCCAUUUCCCCCAUCAUUAACUUUCCCUAAUCUGUACUGGUAUAUGUAUCACUCAUUUUUAAAAAGGGUAUGUAACACACACACACAUACACACACAUGCACAUUCCCAUAUCCAUUGCCAUCCAGUGGCCCAUUUCUCCACUUCAUAGCCAAAUUUUGGGGGGAAAAACUGUCUACUGAGGCUCUCCCUACUUCAUCUCCCAUGCACCCUCCAAGCCAUCAUGUACCAACCUCUAUCCCAGUCCCACUGAAACCCACUUUGUCAAGGUCAUCAGAGAUCUUCAUGUUGUGAAGCCAAUGGAAACUUCUCUUUAGGCUGAAAUGUUACAUGAAUUGAACAUUUCCCAUCAAUGCAUAAACCAUC
Molecule: long non-coding RNA, 1134 nt
Organism: Gorilla gorilla gorilla (western lowland gorilla)
Lineage: Eukaryota; Metazoa; Chordata; Mammalia; Primates; Hominidae
Exons: 2
Source: RefSeq, a predicted model, not a curated record